RNAcentral lists this ribosomal RNA (253 nucleotides) under uncultured bacterium. RNAcentral's name for it is "partial 16S ribosomal RNA". It matches the Rfam family "Bacterial small subunit ribosomal RNA", at positions 524 to 776 of the family's 1533-position model. The record is from RNAcentral.
UACAGAGGGUGCAAGCGUUGUCCGGAUUUAUUGGGCGUAAAGAGCGUGUAGGCGGCCAUACAGGUCAGCUGUGAAAACUCGAGGCUCAACCUCGAGACGUCGGUUGAAACCGUAUGGCUAGAGUCCGGAAGAGGAGAGUGGAAUUCCCGGUGUAGCGGUGAAAUGCGCAGAUAUCGGGAAGAACACCCGUGGCGAAGGCGGCUCUCUGGGACGGUACUGACGCUGAGACGCGAAAGCGUGGGGAGCGAACAGG